RNAcentral lists this small nuclear RNA (109 nucleotides) under Nannospalax galili (Upper Galilee mountains blind mole rat). The record is from RNAcentral. Lineage: Eukaryota; Metazoa; Chordata; Mammalia; Rodentia; Spalacidae.
UUGCUCACUUUGGCAGCACAUAUACUAAAACUGGAACGAUACAGAGAAGAUUAACAUGUGGCCCCUGUGCAAGGAUGACACGCAUAUUCGUGAAACAUUCCACAUUUUA